Molecule: ribosomal RNA, 253 nt
Filed under: uncultured bacterium
Lineage: Bacteria
Description: partial 16S ribosomal RNA
Rfam family: Bacterial small subunit ribosomal RNA
Source: RNAcentral
UACGUAGGGUGCAAGCGUUGUCCGGAAUUAUUGGGCGUAAAGAGCUUGUAGGCGGUUUGUCGCGUCUGCUGUGAAAUUUCGGGGCUCAACCCCGAACUUGCAGUGGGUACGGGCAGACUAGAGUGUGGUAGGGGAGACUGGAAUUCCUGGUGUAGCGGUGAAAUGCGCAGAUAUCAGGAGGAACACCGAUGGCGAAGGCAGGUCUCUGGGCAGUAACUGACGCUGAGACGCGAAAGCGUGGGGAGCAAACAGG